Molecule: ribosomal RNA, 984 nt
Filed under: Triticum aestivum (bread wheat)
Lineage: Eukaryota; Viridiplantae; Streptophyta; Magnoliopsida; Poales; Poaceae
Description: partial small subunit ribosomal RNA
Source: RNAcentral
AUGUCGGACUCGGAAACGGAGGAGAAGAAGAGCAAGUCACCGUCAUCCAAGGCGCCGCUCGCGCGCCUCACCGGCAGCGGCAGCGGCGAGGUCCGCGUGGUGGAGCGCGUCGUGCGCGAGGAGACGGGGAUGUCGAUGAUGCUGACGCGCACCAACUACCAGGAAUGGGCGCUGGUGAUGCAGGUAAAGCUGCAGGUCGCCCGCGUCUGGCCUGCGGUGACCGGCGACGCCGCCGACGAGAAUGAUGAUCGGCGCGCGCUGCAGAUCCUUCUUACCGGCGUCCCGCCGGAGAUGCUGCGCGUGCUGGCCGCCAAGGACACAGCGAAGAAGGCAUGGGAGACAAUCAAGACCAUGCGCAUGGGCAGCGAGCGCGCCCGCGAGGCCAAGGCGCAGGUGCGCCGGCGGGAGUUCGAAGAUCUCAGGUUCAAGGACGGCGAGUCCGUCGAGGACUUCGGGCUGCGGCUUUCGGCCCUUGUCGCCGAUCUGGAGCUGUACGGCGACACGGUCUCCGAACACAAGGCGGUGCAGAAAUUUCUUCGCGUGGUGCCGCGGAGGUAUCGCCCGAUGGCCAUGGCGAUCGAGUCCCUGAUCGAUCUGAAAACCAUGACCAUCGAGGAGCUCGUCGGCCGCCUCUCCGCCUGCGAGGACCACUACGACCUCGACGAUGGAGCGCAGAACGCCGGGCGUCUCUUGCUCACUCAUGAGGAGUGGCUGGCCCGUGAGAAGGCGGGCGGCGGCGGAGGCUCGUCGUCAAGCGGUGGCGGCGGCAACACCAGCAAGAGCAAGGCGACCGGCAAGGCCAAGGCCCAAGGCGCUGGCAAGAGCACACCGGCAACGCCGGGUCAGGCGGCUUUGGCGGAUCCGGCGGCAAGAAAAAGAAAGGAAAGUGCCACCAUUGUGGCAUCCCAGGGCACUGGAAGAAGGAGUGCAGGACCUGGCUGCGGGAGCAGGAACAAGCGGGCAAGCGAGAACAGGCCAACUUAG